CACGUAGGGCGCAAGCGUUGUCCGGAAUUAUUGGGCGUAAAGAGCUCGUAGGCGGUCUGUUGCGUCCGCUGUGAAAACCCGGGGCUUAACCCUGGGCUGGCAGUGGAUACGGACAGACUAGAGGUAGGUAGGGGAGAAUGGAAUUCCCGGUGUAGCGGUGAAAUGUGCAGAUAUCGGGAGGAACACCGGUGGCGAAGGCGGUUCUCUGGGCCUUACCUGACGCUGAGGAGCGAAAGCGUGGGGAGCGAACAGG
RNAcentral lists this ribosomal RNA (253 nucleotides) under uncultured bacterium. RNAcentral describes it as "partial 16S ribosomal RNA". It matches the Rfam family "Bacterial small subunit ribosomal RNA", at positions 524 to 776 of the family's 1533-position model. The record is from RNAcentral.